GUAAAAACAAUGACGAAAGCCCAAACAGGCUGGUAAAUCAGGGAAUGACGUUCACGAGACUGCAAGACGUCUGUUACCAAAAUGUUUGUCUUCACUUUCUGAGUUGACUUUUGAGGUGGCAACACUUAGAAAGCUCCGGCCUGGCCGUUACCUUGUUGAGUGCAUGAGGUUUUUUAAUCAUGAACAAGGGUGGUACCGCGAUGCUUCGUCCCUUUU
RNAcentral lists this non-coding RNA (216 nucleotides) under Lacticaseibacillus rhamnosus. Lineage: Bacteria; Bacillati; Bacillota; Bacilli; Lactobacillales; Lactobacillaceae. The record is from RNAcentral.